CCUACGGGCGGCAGCAGUGGGGAAUAUUGGGCAAUGGGCGCAAGCCUGACCCAGCAACGCCGCGUGAAGGAAGAAGGCUUUCGGGUUGUAAACUUCUUUUCUCAGGGACGAAGCAAGUGACGGUACCUGAGGAAUAAGCCACGGCUAAAUACGUGCCAGCAGCCGCGGUAAUACGUAGGUGGCAAGCGUUAUCCGGAUUUACGGGGUGUAAGGGGCGUGUAGGCGGGACUGCAAGUCAGAGGUGAAAACCAUGGGAUAAACCUAUGUCCUGCAGUUGAAACUGUAGUUCUUGAGUACUGGAGAGGCAGACGGAAUUCCUAGUGUAGCGGUGAAAUGCGUAGAUAUUAGGAGGAACACCAGUGGCGAAGGCGGUCUGCUGGACAGCAACUGACGCUGAGGCGCGAAAGCGUGGGGAGCAAACAGGAUUAGAUACCCCUGUAGUC
RNAcentral lists this ribosomal RNA (443 nucleotides) under uncultured bacterium. Its description in RNAcentral is "partial 16S ribosomal RNA". It matches the Rfam family "Bacterial small subunit ribosomal RNA", at positions 338 to 795 of the family's 1533-position model. The record is from RNAcentral.